CCCCUCUCAGGAUUGUACCUGGAGAGUUUCGAAUACUCUCCCGGUCUUGGCUACGAGACGGAAAGUCAAGCAGAGUCAUACUCAUUCCAUUCCUAGCUUGGGCAGUGGCUAGUGAGUGAAAGGCAAUCUGUUACACAU
Molecule: small nucleolar RNA, 138 nt
Organism: Tachyglossus aculeatus (Australian echidna)
Lineage: Eukaryota; Metazoa; Chordata; Mammalia; Monotremata; Tachyglossidae
Source: RefSeq, a predicted model, not a curated record